Sycon ciliatum is the source of this 1661-nucleotide long non-coding RNA. RefSeq lists it as uncharacterized. NCBI's taxonomy places the organism in Eukaryota, Metazoa, Porifera, Calcarea, Leucosolenida, Sycettidae. The record is from RefSeq and is a predicted model, not a curated record. The transcript has 2 exons.
AGACCGAUCCCCUUAUUAUACUGGGUUCGAGCACGGGGGCAACCUCACUCGCGAUCGAGCUAGUUUUUGAACGUGACAGCAUCUUUGACAGUGUGUUUCAGGUUUGUUUUGGAAUGUCUUCUGCUUAGUUCAAGUAGUUUGCGAUGGCUUCGAGCGGUGCUAAACCUCCUGCUGGUAGGAGCAGAGUCUCCGAGAGAGACAUGGACUGUGAUGCCGCUGCAGGAUUUUUUCAAGGCGCGGGAGGGAACGAUCUCGGGCCACAAACAGGAGUUACUCCAGAGAGCCAUCUUCUAUGAAGGUAACCGUGGUGCUGCCAAGUCACCAAGUCGCGAUCAGCAGCCCUGAAGUGGAAAAAUCGAUUUUCCAACGAUCUGGUUGGACAUCAGCCACUAAAGUACUUCUGAUUUGCCUGUAGUGACAACAGCAGCCAUCCUUGGACACCUUGCAAAGACAGGAAAAGCCACUGGUGGAAGCGACUGCUAUGAGGUGACGAUAGCAGUGCAGUGGUGAUCGCUGUUUUGUCAAGUCGAAGGGCUAGCCAACCCAGAGGAAGCAUAAAAAAAACGAUGAGCAGUGCGUGUUAUUUGUUGAGCGUGAAGAGCUAGAGGAGGACAGUGCAAACACAUGGACGGAGUGGAUGGUGUUUGAAGAACAGAGUGCUGUGUGCCGGCUGGUGGUGAUAGUGGUCUUUGUCAGCAUGUAUUCGUGCUGCUUCUUGUGCUGGAACACUUCUCGCCCAGGAAGGCAGAUUGCGUGCUCCCUUGCCCUCGGUUGGCUAUGGGGCAUUUGUUCCAGGAACAUUACCCCAGAGCCAAUGAUGAGUCGUACCUUUGAAAAGUCGAAGCUUGCUGUUAAUCGCAAGCGUAGCGCAGUGGAUUGCUCCCUCUUCGAAGCACGAGGGCCAAAGCUUGCCGCUGUCUGCAGCAAAGUGUGUGUGUGGUUCUUUCGAACCUAUGUAUUCGUGCUGCUUCUUGUGCUGGAACACUUCUCGCCCAGGAAGGCAGAUUGCGUGCUCCCUUGCCCUCGGUUGGCUAUGGGGCAUUUGUUCCAGGAACAUUACCCCAGAGCCAAUGAUGAGUCGUACCUUUGAAAAGUCGAAGCUUGCUGUUAAUCGCAAGCGUAGCGCAGUGGAUUGCUCCCUCUUCGAAGCACGAGGGCCAAAGCUUGCCGCUGUCUGCAGCAAAGUGUGUGUGUGGUUCUUUCGAACCUAACUAUUUUCUAGUAUAUUUAACAUCCUCAACCCGCCACCACCGUGCGCUCUUGGCCGAACUAAUGCACGAAGCAUAAACACACCAGCACAGCAAGGACACUUCCGUUGACAGAUAUUGUUUACGCCUCUAGACCGCUGUUUCUUUUCUUCGAGCUCAUCGUUAGAGGAGGAUAGCAGGAUACUAAUGAUGAUAUAAUAGAAGAUGAUAGACGGUUUAUGGUCCGAUAUUGAUGAUUGAAGAUCUAAGAAAGCAAUGACAGUGAUUGCGAAAUGGAUAAUAUUAUCAUGAUUAUAUGCCAGUCUGGUAAUGCGUUGUACUAGUGGACAGUAUUGAAAUCAUCACUGCAUUCGAUGCAAAUAUUGGUAUACCUUUGGUUUCAGUAUUGGAAAAAAAGAGUAAGAGAACCUGGUUGAUUUGGUUGCAUCUGCGACUGGCUACCGGGUGUUGUGA